GUCUUCGGGUUGAUGAGUGCUGUGGAGAUAAAAGAUUUAGUUGAUGCAAGUUUUAAAGGAAAUAUUGUCUUAAUUUUUUUUUUUUUUUUAGGAAAGCACUCGCUACAGUCACUUUCAAGUUUGGCGCAACCAGGCAAGCCACUAGCAGUCAACGGCGGUGGGUGACGUUUGAGAGUUUGAUUACAUGGAAUGCAAGUUUCACACGUCGGAGGGAGACGGUAGAAGACUCACCGGCAUAUUGGCAAUCAGAAUCUCUUUCACACUAAGUCAUUGAAUCAACAACAAACAAUUAGAGAAUCGAGCAGGAAAGAAAAAGCAAGCCUGGGCUAGUAAAUGAUAACUAACCUUCAUGGUUUUGUUCUCCAUUGUCAUGGCAACUGAUAUAAAAAAAAAAGAAGUGGAAAUCCCUGUUUCACCAUCAUCCUACACGGUUAGGAUGUACUGAAAGAUUAGAAUCGUAUCACCUGGGAACAAAAGAUCAACAUCAGAUUAAAGAUUUAAUUAGUCCCACUUAAACAUCCCCAACAAAAAAGGAAACACAUUUGUUGGCUCCACUGAAGGUGAUUGGCCCGCUGGCUACCCUCCAAUCCGGAAGGAAAAAAGGGAAAGGUACGGAAAAACAAGUGAGUCAUCGCCCAAAAAUGUUUUGAUGACCCAUUUUUCUACUUUUACCGUGGAGACGGAUUGGCCUUCAGCAACGAGGCAUUUCAAAUUCAGAUGAUGAAAUCAUUUUCUCGUUUUCUAUUCUCCAUUUCAAAACUUUCGUAAUGGCUUUGGGAGAUAACGUCUUACACUAUCUGUCAACGAAAUCCUUACGCAGUCAGGUUUUUCAGAAAGAAGGGGAGCGAUGAGCAAGGCACUUGUGAACUAGUAGGGGUCAGGAACAAAAUGGGUGUGUCAAAGGAACUAGUUUUCUUUUCGUCACAAGUACGUGAGCAAUAAAUUCCGGAAGCUGUGACGUGCGAUGAGAAGGAACUGUUAAAGGGCAUCGUCUGUGGGGAACUCUUUAACAAUUUUGAUAAAUUCGUCCUUCAGGUUACAGGAAAAGAUGUACCUCAAUACAUAACAUCAGUCGAAGAAGCCGGCCUGCGCCAACUACCACUUCAAAACAUAAAAAAUUCUGGCUACAUAAAACCAACACCUGUUCAGAAAGCUUCAGU
Molecule: long non-coding RNA, 1160 nt
Organism: Daphnia carinata
Lineage: Eukaryota; Metazoa; Arthropoda; Branchiopoda; Diplostraca; Daphniidae
Exons: 4
Source: RefSeq, a predicted model, not a curated record